UCUCCGUUGGUGAACCAGCGGAGGGAUCAUUACAGAGUUACCCAACUCCCAAAAACCAUUGUGAACGUUACCUUAACCGUUGCUUCGGCGGGCGGCACUCCAGGGUGCCCCUGGGCCCCACCGCGGGCGCCCGCCGAAGGUCAUCAAACUCUUGAUAUUUUUAUGGCCUCUCUGAGUCUUCUAUACUGAAUAAGUUAAAACUUUCAACAACGGAUCUCUUGGCUCUG
This 227-nucleotide unclassified non-coding RNA is filed under the name soil metagenome. RNAcentral's name for it is "partial contains small subunit ribosomal RNA, internal transcribed spacer 1, and 5.8S ribosomal RNA". The record is from RNAcentral.